Mandrillus leucophaeus (drill) is the source of this 2992-nucleotide long non-coding RNA. RefSeq lists it as uncharacterized. The transcript is spliced from 3 exons. The record is from RefSeq and is a predicted model, not a curated record. Lineage: Eukaryota; Metazoa; Chordata; Mammalia; Primates; Cercopithecidae.
AUGGAGUCUUGCUCUGUCGCCCAGGCUGGAAUACAGUGGCGUGAUCUCGGCUCACUGCAACUUCCGCCUCCUGGGUUCAAGCGAUUCUCCUGCCUCAGCCUCCCAAACAGCUGGAACCACAGGUGCGCGCCACCACACCCAGGUAAUUUUUUUGUAUUUUUAGUAGAAACGGGGUUUCACCAUGUUAGCCAGGAUAGUCUCGAUUGUUCUGGAGUUUUUUCUAAUACAUUACACACAAUCUAUAGGCAAAUUCUGUUGGUGUCAUCUUCAGAAUCUACCCCAAAUCUUACUAUUUUUACAGCACUUCAACCACUAGUACCUUAUCAAAAACCACUUCCAUAUUUCUUGUAAAUUAUUGGAACAGCCCUUUACCUGGUCUUCCUGUUUCUGCCUUUUGCAUCCCUUCUUCCUUCCUCUCCUUCACACAUACCACUAAAUCGCAACACUGCAACUACAGUAAUAAAUACAUCACUUCUCUGUACAAAAGCUUCUGGUGGUUCUCCCCUCACUCAGGAAGUCUUUACAAUACUCCACAAGAUCACUUUCUGACCUUUCCUGUUGGACUCGUUUUGAAUUUCUACCUUGCCCACUCUGUUGCAGCCACAGUCUCCUCCCUGCUGAUUCAUAAACACACUGACCAUGCUCUUGCUUCAAGAACAUUUCUAUUGCUGUUCUCUCUGCCGGGAGGACAGUUCCUCUAGUAUCCACUCACCUCAUUCAGUUUCUGCACAAAUGUCACUUUUACAAUAAAGUCAUUCCUAAAGAACUAACUUAAAAUUGUACCCUGCUAAAUAGCAAUGCCCUUACCUCACUUAGAACACUCUAAAAGUGCUCUAAAGGACUAAAUUAGCAAUUUAGCCCUUUAGUACCCCACUGAUUAGCAAUCCCCUUACCCCACUUAGAGAGUGCUCUACUAGUACUUUAGACAGCAGCAUCUAAACAGUGAUGCUACUAUCAGACUAAAAAUCACCAUCAUAAGUAGAUACAUAAAUUUAAAUCAAAUAAACUUAAUUAUCUAAUUUGAACAUUAUAUUUCAUCUACAAUAUCCAUUUAUUCAACAAGUAUUUAUUGACCAUGUUGUACAAUUUUCUAGGUGCAGAAGAUACAUCACUUAACAAAGCAGAUCACUAUACUUGGUUACUUGGAGUUUAUAUUUGAAUUGGCAAAAUAUAUGGCAGAAACUGGAAGUGUUGUAAAGGACUAAAUUAGUAAUGAGUAAUUUAGCCCUUUAGUACCCUACUGAUUAGCAAUCCUCUUACCCCACUUAUAGAGUGCUCUACUUGUACUUUAGAUAGUAGCAUUUCAACAGUAGCAUUUAAACCCCUUGGGAUUGCUAAUUACCUUACUUUAGGAGGUAAUUACAUGAGGAGGGUGAAGCCCUUAUGGAAGGAAUUAGGGUCCUUAUAAAAGCCCUUGGGGCAGUGGGUCCACUCUCUUUUGCUCUUCCACCAUGUGAGGACACAGCAUUCAAAGCACCACCUUGGAAGCAGAGACAAGACUCUCACCAGACACCAAACUUGCCUGCACCUUGAUCUUGGACAUCCAGCCUUCAGAACUGUGAGAAGUAACAUUUCUAUUAUUUAUGAAUUACCCAGUCUGGUAUUUUAUUAUAGCAACAUAAAGAGACUGUGAUAGAAGGUAUGAAUUUUUGUCCUAAAUGAGGACUGGGAGUGGUAGGAAUUUGAAAACAAUGCCAAUAUAACAAAUAAAUUAGAUUGUUUCUAGCUAUUUUAUUUUUCUUUCAUUAGUUAGUAAUUCCAAUCCAGUUCUGGGUUUGAAGUUUUGCAUGUAAAACGUGUUCCUUUUAGAUAUUUUCCUCUGAAAGAAAUUGGGGAAAUAUUGCAAAGAAAAAGGAAAAGGAAAAGGAGCGAUUCUGACAUUUAUGAAUUUGUGAUAUUAUGUACUGAAAUUAUAACCUGAUUGUAUGUUUCUGCCUAAUCUGCAUAAAGGGAGGUUAUUCAGCCCUUCCACACUUUGCCAUGGGAUGGCACAGCAAGAAGGCCCUCAUCAGAUACAGGACCCUCAGCCUUGGUUUUCCAGUCAUUCGAACUCAUUUCCAUCUAUAUUUUCACUCCUGAGAAGUUUGAAAAUUAAAAAAAAAAAAAAAAUCAUGAAGAAUAAGAGAUGAACCACAAAAAAAAAAAAGAAAGGCUGGAAGAGGAUUUUACAGAUUUUUAAGAAAUACAACUCAUCUGCCUGAGCAUUCUUUCGGCACUCUCAUUUUAAGGUUACUUCUAGAAAGAAGAAAUGAUUUUUAAUAUUUCCUUCAUCUGGAGAAAUAACUGUCACUGUUCGGUAUUCACGGACUUCCUGCUGAGGACUGCUACCGCAGUAGGCUCUGGUCUCACGAUAGGCAGCCGUGAUAAGCAAGGGCCCCCGCACAGAGAUGGUUUGAAUGAUGUGGCUCCCUCCUGCUCCAUAUAACCAUAGCAAGAAGAAUGUAACAGUGGCCCUCCAUUAGCGAACUUAUUACGGUGAUUCCCGAGUCAUGAUCGCGACCCACCUUAAAAUCUACUGCUGGCAUUUUCUUGUCAUUGGAUUGCCACAUGAAUUAGCAGUUUAAGACUCUGCCUCCUUACUAACACCAACAUCUUAUCUGUAUGGCUUUGGCGCUAGUUCCUGCCUCCUUGUGCUCUACCUCUAUCCCAGUUAUCAUCUUGAAUUCAGUAUGCUUUUGGGUCUCUGGUUAAAUCUUAGAACUUUCCAUUCAAAAUAACGUACUUUAUAUUUCAGAACCACCCCUUAGGUUUGGUACCUGUACUAUGUCCUUGAAUUGAAUAUUUGCAUCUGUUUCUUGAUAUAUGUAUUUUUCAUUUAAAAUAUUUGCUCUUAAGUUAUAUAAUUUACCUGGUGAAAGACCAUACAACACUACUUGCAUGUAGUCUCCCUAUCAUUGAUGAACUUGCAUGUUUCUUUUCUCCAAUAAAUUUUAUGUCAAUUUUACUACAUUAUUGAAAUUCCCCCAGAGUAAUGAGAUCAUAUUUAUCAACU